UACGAAGGGGGGCUAGCGUUGUUCGGAAUUACUGGGCGUAAAGCGCGCGCAGGCGGUCUUCCAAGUCAGUGGUGAAAGCCCGGAGCUCAACUCCGGAACUGCCAUUGAAACUGUUAGACUUGAGGAUGAGAGAGGUGAGUGGAAUUCCCAGUGUAGAGGUGAAAUUCGUAGAUAUUGGGAAGAACACCAGUGGCGAAGGCGGCUCACUGGACCGGCAUUGACGCUGAGGUGCGAAAGCGUGGGGAGCAAACAGG
RNAcentral lists this ribosomal RNA (254 nucleotides) under uncultured bacterium. RNAcentral's name for it is "partial 16S ribosomal RNA". It matches the Rfam family "Bacterial small subunit ribosomal RNA", at positions 524 to 776 of the family's 1533-position model. The record is from RNAcentral.